This 429-nucleotide ribosomal RNA is filed under the name Fusobacteriota bacterium. Its description in RNAcentral is "Fusobacteria bacterium partial 16S ribosomal RNA". It matches the Rfam family "Bacterial small subunit ribosomal RNA", at positions 355 to 776 of the family's 1533-position model. Lineage: Bacteria; Fusobacteriati; Fusobacteriota. The record is from RNAcentral.
UGGGGAAUCUUCCGCAAUGGACGAAAGUCUGACGGAGCAACGCCGCGUGAGUGAAGACGGCCUUCGGGUUGUAAAGCUCUGUGAUCCGGGACGAAAGAGCCUGAGGUGAAUAGCCUAAGGAAGUGACGGUACCGGAAAAGCAAGCCACGGCUAACUACGUGCCAGCAGCCGCGGUAAUACGUAGGUGGCAAGCGUUGUCCGGAAUUAUUGGGCGUAAAGCGCGCGCAGGCGGCUUCCUAAGUCCAUCUUAAAAGUGCGGGGCUUAACCCCGUGAUGGGAUGGAAACUGGGAAGCUGGAGUAUCGGAGAGGAAAGUGGAAUUCCUAGUGUAGCGGUGAAAUGCGUAGAGAUUAGGAAGAACACCGGUGGCGAAGGCAACUUUCUGGACGAAAACUGACGCUGAGGCGCGAAAGCGUGGGGAGCAAACAGG